GACGAACGCUGGCGGCGUGCUUAACACAUGCAAGUCGAACGCUGAAGACCUGGCUUUUGUUGGGUUGGAUGAGUGGCGAACGGGUGAGUAACACGUGAGUAACCUGCCCUCUUCUUUGGGAUAACGCCCGGAAACGGGUGCUAAUACUGGAUAUUCACUGAUCUUCGCAUGGGGGUUGGUGGAAAGGUUUGUUCUGGUGGGGGAUGGGCUCGCGGCCUUUCAGCUUGUUGGUGGGGUGAUGGCCUACCAAGGCUUUGACGGGUAGCCGGCCUGAGAGGGUGACCGGUCACAUUGGGACUGAGAUACGGCCCAGACUCCUACGGGAGGCAGCAGUGGGGAAUAUUGCACAAUGGGCGAAAGCCUGAUGCAGCGACGCCGCGUGAGGGAUGGAGGCCUUCGGGUUGUAAACCUCUUUCGCUCAUGGUCAAGCCGCAACUGUGGGUUGUGGUGAGGGUAGUGGGUAAAGAAGCGCCGGCUAACUACGUG
Molecule: ribosomal RNA, 486 nt
Filed under: uncultured bacterium
Lineage: Bacteria
Description: partial 16S ribosomal RNA
Rfam family: Bacterial small subunit ribosomal RNA
Source: RNAcentral